ACGCGAGGAACCUUACCAGGUCUUGACAUCCUCUGACACUCCUAGAGAUAGGACGUUCCCCUUCGGGGGACAGAGUGACAGGUGGUGCAUGGUUGUCGUCAGCUCGUGUCGUGAGAUGUUGGGUUAAGUCCCGCAACGAGCGCAACCCUUGAUCUUAGUUGCCAGCAUUAAGUUGGGCACUCUAAGGUGACUGCCGGUGACAAACCGGAGGAAGGUGGGGAUGACGUCAAAUCAUCAUGCCCCUUAUGACCUGGGCUACACACGUGCUACAAUGGAUGGUACAAAGGGCAGCAAAGCGGUGACGCCUAGCAAAUCCCAUAAAACCAUUCUCAGUUCGGAUUGUAGGCUGCAACUCGCCUACAUGAAGCUGGAAUCGCUAGUAAUCGCGGAUCAGCAUGCCGCGGUGAAUACGUUCCCGGGCCUUGCACACACCGCCCGU
RNAcentral lists this ribosomal RNA (439 nucleotides) under uncultured bacterium. Its description in RNAcentral is "bacterial SSU rRNA". It matches the Rfam family "Bacterial small subunit ribosomal RNA", at positions 959 to 1397 of the family's 1533-position model. The record is from RNAcentral.